RNAcentral lists this long non-coding RNA (6640 nucleotides) under Malus domestica (apple). RNAcentral describes it as "long non-coding RNA (MDOM_LNC009537)". Lineage: Eukaryota; Viridiplantae; Streptophyta; Magnoliopsida; Rosales; Rosaceae. The record is from RNAcentral.
AGAUGGAAGGUGAAAAAUCAUCAUUUCCAAUAAAGCAGUGCUAGCUGGUAACCAGGUCUGCAUAACACGCUUCAUCAGAGCCUUCCCCAUCAGGUCCUUCUCAUCACUCUUCAUGGUGACACCAAGCUUUGUCAACAUGGGCCACAACUUAUCCUUCUGAUCAUUCAUGCAGGUGUUGAUGAUCUGCUUGAUGGGUUCGUAACAGAACUGAACAAAACCACGCUUGCAGGUAGCAGUGCCGGUGCUCUUGCUGGUCCAUUUCUUCGUAGCUGGGUCAAAAAAGUUCUCACCCCAGAGCCUUUCCAUCAUCUUUGACUCAUCAACUCCAAACUUGGAAGCAUACAUCUUAGCGAAGUUGGUCAGAGUGAAAGCCCAACCGUGCAAACCAGCUGAGAAGGCGACUGUUCCUUUCUCUGGGUACACUUGGACAUCACCAAGAAGUGGAUCUUCAUAUGUAGCCAUAAUGACAUUAGCAUUCUCAAUAACCCUUUGGAAUGUCUGGUAAGCUUCCUCUCCAUCAACCUGGAGCUCAAGGAAGCAUCUGUCCAUCUUGUUAACGGUCAAAACAGGCCUGAUCCUCUCUCCCAAUGCUUGACGGAGCACAGUCUCAGUCUGGACACACACACCCUCAAUACAAUCCACCACCACAAGUGCUCCAUCAGUAAUACGCAGAGCAGCUGUGACUUCAGAUGAAAAGUCAACGUGCCCGGGGGAAUCAAUGAGAUUGAUGAGGUACUCAUUUCCGUUCCUCUCUCCCUUGUACCUCUGCAAAGACUCAUCAGUCAUCUCAUAGUACAGAGAGAUACCGGUAGAUUUAAUUGUGAUACCACGCUCUGCCUCAUCUGCGCGAGUAUCAGUCAUCCGAACAUCACCAGCAACUUCUUGUGCAAUGAUACCCGCAGCAGCAACAAGCGAGUCUGUAAGAGUUGACUUCCCUGCAUAUCAAAUUUCAAAAACAUUAUAUGUUUUGAGGAAACACCAUAGGACAUAAACAAAUAAAUGGAUAAAACGCAACUAUACAUAUUAACUGGUGAAAUAUUUCAAAUUAUAACCAAUAGAGAAAAGUUCAAAAUACUGAAAAAAAAUACACUUGACCAAAAUAUUACAACAUUAAAAAUUUUCUUUAACCAGGUUAAUAAAAACACCUUGUAACAAAGACAAGAAUUAUCAAGUGAAAAUAAAAAAGAUCUAUACCGUGAUCAACAUGAGCAAUAACAGACAUAUUGCGAAUGUUGUGCUUGUAGUCCAUAAUCCUACGGAGUUCUUCUGCUGUAAACUUCACCUGCAAUAUCAAGAAUAUCACACCAUUGUGAAUUAAGGAAUCAAUGGAGCAGCUCAGGAAUCACUAUGUAACCAUGUUCAGAUUGAUAGUCAGUGUUUACCAUCUUGACUAGUCUUUAAGAACAACCGGCAAUUAGUUUUUAUAAGAAGCUGAUUAACCGACAAGGAAACACCUGCAAAUUUAAACAACAAAAAAAUGAACUGGAAUUCAACUUGGAAUAUAAACAUUUAAAAUGACUAGAAAAUGACACACCAAUACAUUUCUAUGUUUAAAAAAUGACCAGAAAAAAAAAAUAGCAAUUUGUAUUCCACCAAAAGACUAUUGAAUUCCGGUAAAAGGAAUACAUAAUUUUUACUGUAUCAAGCAAUCUUAAUAAUCAAGACAAGUUAUUCGGUAAACGGUCUUGACAAAAGAAAAGGUAAUCACAAAUCAUUCCUUAUCAAUUAGGAUGAUCCUAUUAAUUUAGGGCCACCAAUAACAACAAAAUAGAAAACAAGUACGCAUAAUAAUUCUCUCUUACAAAUUAGUAUAUUUUAGAACGAAAAUUAUUCUGGAAAAUAUUUUUAUAUUAUUUCUUUGACAUGAAUAGGAAACAAAAUGUUCUGAAAAAAUUACUCAUAAAUUCAAACGAAACCUUAAUUUUCGAAAAUCUUUCCACUAAAAAAAUUGCUCAACGAAACUAUUUUCCAGCAAAACAACAGAGUAUUAGUACGAUCAAAGUAGAAAACAAGAUCUAGCAAAUACAAAACAUCUAGGGUAGUGCUAACCACACACCCACUUUACUUUUCACACACACUCAACUUUCUGCUGUAGGAUAAAAUGAAUUGAAGAAGAUCAAUGGCUAAAAACUAAAAAUGGAUGUGUGAACAAUUUACAAAUACUAGCGAAAUUAUCAUAUAUCACGUAAAAAUUAUCAAAAACGUCAGAAAAUUAUUCCACAGCAAAAAAAAUUUCACGUAAAAAUUUUCCGAUGAACCAACCAGAGCCUGAGAGAGUGAUCUGUACGGAAAACAAGGAUCUAAUACAAACACAUUUCACACAAACAUAUAUACACACACAAUGCAUCCGUAAAACCUGAGCAACGAUCGAAACGAUAAACGAGCAAAGACAUAAUACCAAACCAAAAGCAUGCAUAACAAUAAUAUAUUUCCAACAAUACAAAAUGCAUGCAGAUCACAGAUUUUUCAGAACAACAAAAUGCAUGAUUAACGACGAUAAUCAAGAAAUCACGAGGAUAAUCGGGGGGAUUAAAUCAAAGGAAGCGACUGAUUCGAAUAGCAUAGAAUUAGAGGAACGAACCUGAAGGAUCGGGAGAUGGAGAGCGAGGGAGGGAUGGAGAGAGGAGUGACUCUCCGCAGCCUAGAGCUAGUGGUGCAAAUGGGACUGAGAGAAUGUGUGGAGCCCGGAGGAGGGUGUGAGUGUUAUAUAAGGUUAGGGUUUUCGUUUCUUGGGUUGGGCUCCGCUUUCAUAGUUUAUACUAUUUUCUAGGCCCACCAAAAUCUCCAUCGGCCUUUUUUUAUUCUAAAAUCAUGGGCCUUAGGGCUUUUUAUUUAUUUUUUAUUUUUAACAACAUUAUAUAAUUAUGGAUAAUGAUGGGAAGAUCAAAUUUGAAAAUCAAAUAAAUAGAAAAUUAGCACGUUAAUUAAUAUUUCAAUAAUAAUUCAAUUACAUUUCAUAAUCAUAAAAGUCGACUAAGUGCAAAAAGACGGCCACACAUGACCUUUGCCAAUCGACCUAUUCCACAGUUGUAUGACCUAGGUUAAGAAGGUCAAAGCUUCUUGUUAGACACUCAAAACUCAAAACUUCAAAUUCUUGUUUAUUAAUUAAACAAAAAAUAUUGAGAAAAGUUAUUAGCAUUUUAGUAUGGCAUGUUUUUCUUUGAUUGUAAGUGAGAGAAAAGUGAGAAGUGGAAAUGAAUACAACUACACUGUCGUGCUAAGCAGCCUCCAAUAUUCGUAAGGUAGGCAUAAACUUCUUCGUCUAAUAAACGUUUUCUAAAUAUGAGCCUAGGGUUUAUUUACAAGAUAUACAUAUAUUCUAACCAAUUCACUUAACCCAACCCACACUUGCAAAGAUAGCCUAGAUUUAAAAAGCCUUAGCUCCCCCAAACACUUCUACUUUGGACACCAAACCCCAACUCUCUUUUUUUCAUUUUUGUAGCCAAAACUAUAGUAUCUACAUGUAACAACAUUGAUAUCAAGUCGAUGAAUUGUAUAGCAUGAAUUUUAAAGGGUGUUUGUUUGCCCUCACUAAGCUUCACUAGAUUGGAUUGGCUUAGCUGGAAUUUCUAAUUCGUGUUUGGUUGGAACAAGGAUUAAGUAUAAUGGGACUAAGUCGGAUUCGUGCCAACUAAGUCCUUCACUCCCAGUUCUUAGCUAGGUUGCCCGAAACAUAUGGGAUUGCUAAUCCCGUCUCUAAAGCUGUGUACAAAGUCUGCACGCUGCAUCAUCUACACGCUGCAAGUCAUCUGCAAUCAUGCUUCUUUGCAACUCUGUUUGGCCACCUAUGCCCAGAUCUGAAACCCACCACACCCACUGCCUAAUUCUCAACAUCCAACUACCAAAAUUCGAAAAGAAAAAAAGUCAAUUCGAUAACAACAACAAACUCAAUAGAAAAAUUCUUCAUUUUUCCUAGAAAAUUAAGAGAAUUUUUGAGACAAUCAAAGGAGUGGCGAGAAAUAGAGUGGUCGUGAAAUCCAUGACGCAGCAGAGGGGUGCCUCUGCACGAUUUCAAUUCUCCGUGGGAUAUGAAGUUGGGAAACCAGAAUCUGUGGUGCCAGAAAUAGUUUAGAGGAAUCACAACAGCAAAGAAAAGGAAAGGGAAAAAAAGAGAACAAAACGGGGGUGAUGAAUGACGUUGAGUGAGGAGAGAGUGGAAAGGAAAAGAAAAAGACGAAGAGAGUGGAAAGGAAAAAUAAGAAAAAAAUGUGGAAAGAAAAAAAUGUGAAGAAAAAAAUGACGAAAUUAUUUGAUUUUCCAAAAUAAUGUAGUCCGUAACUUAGUCCGAUAUUGCAUCAACCGCUCCAUUAUUCUUAUCCUACUUAGUCCAUGCCUAGCCAAUCUAACUUAAUCUUUAAAGCUAAUCUAGUCCGAAAUAAUCCAAUACAACAAACGCACCCAAUCCCAUAUUGAUGCAGGCCAACCAAAUUCAUAAACUAGCACAAUUAAGAAUACAAAGCCGCUGGUUCCACAACUUACAAAACCUGAAUCAAACACGAGCUAGAGCGGUUUUCGGCACCUGUGCAGCCACUCGUAUUGGCGGCGCGCGAGCCGAGCAUUGCAACCACCACCUUCGAGGCGUUUUCCCAUCUCUAAUGAAAUAGUAGCAGAAGAAGCUGUUGCAGGUCUUCAAGUUAGAAAGAACAAACAUCAAUCAAAUACAUGAAACAAAGUAGACAAAAGUAUAGUAAAUUCAAAAAGCGUGUAGCAACAAUGGCAGAAAUUGUUCCACAAGCAACAAGGUAAAAGCAGAACAUUAUAAAGGUCUCUGUUCUGAGCACGCACAAAACAUUUAACUACUGGCACCCAGAUGCUGACUACAGCAACAAUGUUAACAACAUUAAACAAAAACGAUUAAACUGGAAACCAAAAAAUUAACGCAGUGCAUCGAAAACAAAUUAUUACUCAAAGCUUGUCCUCAAACUCGGAUAGUGGGGUCAUCUGCUCCUUCAAUCCCUUCCUCUUACGGAUGUCGGUAACAAGUGCUGCAGCCUGGGAUCCAGCUUCCAAUGGAUCAGACGACAUCAUCUCCCAAUGAUCAAACACACAUUGUGGGAAAGCCUGUCCAGAAGUUGCAGCCCUCAGUUGACCAGAGAAUCCAAAGGACUCGACAACGGGGAGGUAUGCCUUGAUGUUGUAAAGUGGAGUUCCCGGCCUCUGCAUCUCCUCAAACACGUGUCCACGUUUCUGAUUCAGAACACUGUAUAUACCUCCAAGAGCCCCCUCUGGAGCUUGAAUUUCAACAAGAUACACUGGUUCGAGAAGCCUUGGCUUGGCUGUGAGCUGAGAGGCAUAGAUGACCCUCCGAGCAGUUGGAAUGACCUGACCUCCCCCUCUGUGGAUGGCAUCAGCGUGAAGAACCACAUCACAAACUUCAAAGCAAAUACCUCUCAUGUUUUCUUCUGCCAAUGCACCUUCCUUUGAGGCCCACUGGAACCCAGCAACAACUGAAUCCUUGAUUUCAUUAAGGUACUGGACUCCCUUACACAUGUCGACCACCAUGUUAGGACCAGUGGUCUCGGGACCAAAACACCAGAUUUUCUUAGCAAGAUCCUUGUCCCAACCAAACUCCUCAGCCAAGAUCUUGGAACGAAUCUUGGGAUCAUCUCUUGGGCCAAUGCGACCUUCAUCAAUAGCCUCAGGAAGCCCUUCCUCAAGGGGCCUUGCUUCCAUGUACAGACGGUUAUGCUUGUUUGGAGACUUGCUCAUCACUGUACGGCAGGACUUAUCAAGGACAGUCUCACGGAAGGACACAACAGGGUCAGACUUUAUAAUCUCAGCACCACCCAUAAAAUCAUCUUGCAGAUCCUUCAAACAGAUCUCAAGAUGCAGUUCACCAGCACCAGCAAUAAUGUGCUCUCCCGACUCCUCAAUGGAGCAGACAACCAUAGGAUCAGACUUGGCCAAACGCUUGAGACCUUCAACAAGUUUGGGAAGGUCAGAUGCAACCUUGCACUGGACAGCAACACGCACGACGGGUGAAACUGAGAACUUCAUAGCACGAAUAGGGUGAGCAUCCACUUCCUUCUCAUUUGUUAAAGUAGCAUUCUUGGUGAUAAACUGAUCCAAACCGACCAAGGCAACAGUGUUACCGCAAGGAACAUCCUCAACAGUUUCUUGUCUCUUUCCCAUCCAAAUAACAGUCCUCUGUACAUUCUUGACAUACAAAUCCUUCUUCUCUCCAGGAACAAAAUUUGGACCCAUGAUUCUAACCUUCAAACCUGUCUGAACUUUACCAGCAAAGACACGGCCAAAGGCAAAGAAUCUACCCUUAUCAGAAGCGGGAAUCAUCUUAGACACAUAGAGCAUAAGAGGUCCUUCGGGGUCACAGUUCCUGAUGGCAUUAGCAUAUUGAUCAUCAAGGGGACCCUCAUACAAAUUCUCAACACGGUACCUUUGAGCCGUGGAAGGAGAUGGAAGGUGAAAGAUCAUCAUUUCCAAUAGAGCAGUGCUAGCUGGUAGCCAGGUCUGCAUAACACGCUUCAUCAAUGCCUUCCCCAUCAGGUCCUUCUCAUCACUCUUCAUGGUGACACCAAGCUUUGUCAACAUGGGCCACAACUUAUCCUUCUGAUCAUUCAUGCACGUGUUGAUGAUCUGCUUGAUGGGCUCAUAACAGAACUGAACGAAACCACGCUUGCAG